CCUGGCCCUAGAAGCCCUGCAUGUGUGGCUGCUGUGUCACCUGUGUGUCAGUAGGUGGCACUGUUCUGACCUGUGACUGUCUGAAUAAUUAGUAGCCUAACAUU
Small nucleolar RNA from Meriones unguiculatus (Mongolian gerbil), 104 nucleotides. The record is from Ensembl. NCBI's taxonomy places the organism in Eukaryota, Metazoa, Chordata, Mammalia, Rodentia, Muridae.